This 254-nucleotide ribosomal RNA is filed under the name uncultured bacterium. Its description in RNAcentral is "partial 16S ribosomal RNA". It matches the Rfam family "Bacterial small subunit ribosomal RNA", at positions 524 to 776 of the family's 1533-position model. The record is from RNAcentral.
UACGUAGGGGGCAAGCGUUGUCCGGAUUCAUUGGGCGUAAAGAGCUCGUAGGCGGUUCAGUAAGUCGGGUGUGAAAGCUCCGAGCUCAACUCGGAGAGGCCACCCGAUACUGCUGUGACUUGAGUCCAGUAGAGGAGCGUGGAAUUCCUGGUGUAGCGGUGAAAUGCGCAGAUAUCAGGAGGAACACCAGUGGCGAAGGCGACUUCCUGGCCUGUUCUUGACGCUGAGGCGCGAAAGCUAGGGUAGCAAACGGG